Molecule: ribosomal RNA, 253 nt
Filed under: uncultured bacterium
Lineage: Bacteria
Description: partial 16S ribosomal RNA
Rfam family: Bacterial small subunit ribosomal RNA
Source: RNAcentral
CACGUAGGGGACGAGCGUUGUCCGGAUUCAUUGGGCGUAAAGCGCGCGUAGGCGGCUCGGAAAGUCGGUCGUGAAAUGCCGGGGCUCAACCCCGGGACUGCGUCCGAUACUCUCGAGCUGGAGGCAGGUAGGGGAGAUCGGAAUUCCGGGUGUAGUGGUGAAAUGCGUAGAGAUCCGGAGGAAUACCAGUGGCGAAGGCGGCACGCUGGGCCAUAACUGACGCUAAGACUCGAAAGCAUGGGUAGCGAACGGG